This 429-nucleotide ribosomal RNA is filed under the name Bacteroidota bacterium. RNAcentral's name for it is "Bacteroidetes bacterium partial 16S ribosomal RNA". It matches the Rfam family "Bacterial small subunit ribosomal RNA", at positions 355 to 776 of the family's 1533-position model. Lineage: Bacteria; Pseudomonadati; Bacteroidota. The record is from RNAcentral.
UAGGGAAUCUUCCGCAAUGGACGCAAGUCUGACGGAGCAACGCCGCGUGAGUGAAGAAGGAUUUCGGUUCGUAAAACUCUGUUGUUAGAGAAGAACAGCGCAUAGAGUAACUGUUAUGCGUGUGACGGUAUCUAACCAGAAAGCCACGGCUAACUACGUGCCAGCAGCCGCGGUAAUACGUAGGUGGCAAGCGUUGUCCGGAUUUAUUGGGCGUAAAGCGAGCGCAGGCGGUCAAUUAAGUCUGAUGUGAAAGCCCCCGGCUCAACCGGGGAGGGUCAUUGGAAACUGGUUGACGUGAGUGCAGAAGAGGAGAGUUGAAUUCCAUGUGUAGCGGUGAAAUGCGUAUAUAUAUGGAGGAACACCAGUAGCGAAGGCGACUCUCUGGUCUGUAACUGACGCGGAGGCUCGAAAGCGUGGGUAGCAAACAGG